Molecule: long non-coding RNA, 1417 nt
Organism: Odontomachus brunneus
Lineage: Eukaryota; Metazoa; Arthropoda; Insecta; Hymenoptera; Formicidae
Exons: 4
Source: RefSeq, a predicted model, not a curated record
CGAGCAGCGGCCGUUGACACAUCGAUCGACAUCGCUCCGCAUUUUGCGCGUCCUUUACCUGUCGAAAGUGAGUUCCCGCGCGGAAAUAAGUAUCGGGAGUGCUGAGAACAGCGAUCUGUGAUCGUCGGGACGUAAGACGAUGGGAAUUUCCAACGGAUUUGGAGCUCCAACAGAAGCGAAGAGGGAGGAGCUGAGUACAAAAACGUGUGUGAUCACAUUGAGGCUCUGUAGCGUAUUGAGAGCGUUGAUUGUUGUCACAUCUCGCGCUCACCGAGUGUUUACGUCAUUCAGCGGCGACGACAGUUGAUGUUUGAUGGGGGGUGACUUUUUGCCGACUGCUUUGAUUGUCGUGCGCGACGCGUACGUGUCCGGGAACCGUGUUAUUACGUCUCGAGCCGACGUUUGGGACACAUAAAAUAUAUGGACCCUUCUCGUAAUAAUCGGGAUAUAUCGUCGGCAUCGCGUCGAUUCACACGUUUCUCCGAUCAAAUCACGAGUGUCAGUGUCACGAGGAAGUAUCAUGACGUAGCAGCCAGAUGCCAGGAUGGAGGACGCGGGAUGCCGAGACGCCGGUGCAACGCAUCAUAUAUUUCUAGAGGCACGCCACGAUGAGGAGUAGAGGAUAGGAGGAGGGGAUGCGGAGGCAGGCUAAUGAAUUCUGGCAGAGGGUGUCGGGAACGUAAAUCCACCUCCCUCGGUUUGCAACGCGAACGACGAGACGCCGAGAACGGUGCGAAGAGAGAAGAGGAGAGGAGAGGACAGAGUGGAGGCGCCUAAGCAGCGGCCAAGAGGGGUGCGUGUACAAUGGAGCGGCGAGACCGAAACUGUCGAAUCGUCGGCGGCGUUAAAAAAUCCUGGGUGUCAAUGGAGUAAUCCGUCCCCUCGAGCGGUGGCUCGUCAUGUGCCGUAGCAGCGACAAAACGGCCGACGUCGUAUUUUUGCGGCGCAAUGAUCGCGCGACGUGGCACCGGGCAAAACAAUAGCAUCGCCCGCGGCACGAUGAUAAAGCCGAUGCGACGCGACGCGACGCGACGCCACGCCACGCCACGCGUGCAUCCGCGCGCGCGUGCAGUUGCAGCGAUGUAGCUGCAAAAGUUUUCGCGCAGCUCGUUGAUCUGCUCUGAAACCAGGCGCGGAUUCACGCGGAUCUGUACUACUGGGAAAUGCGAAACGAAUGAAUUCCGAGCGAGUCGAGAUAUGCAAGUAAUUGGACGAUCCAUUUGACGCUUCGAACGCUUCGGGGCGCCGUACAAUCAGAGUCUUCUUUUAGGCGCUCCAAGCGCCCGCAGCCCCAACUGGACUUCAUUCCUGCACUGAGAGAAAUGGCUUGACACUAUACUCGUCUUAUGAAAAUAAUAUGGUGAAUUUAUAUGCGAUAUCUGGUUCACAUAUCCGAUAUUCUGAUUACGAUGCCUCG